This 1937-nucleotide unclassified non-coding RNA is filed under the name Polistes dominula (European paper wasp). RNAcentral's name for it is "fringe glycosyltransferase, transcript variant X2". The record is from RNAcentral. Lineage: Eukaryota; Metazoa; Arthropoda; Insecta; Hymenoptera; Vespidae.
CCCCCUCUUCGGCGGCGACGGUGGUAGCGGCGACGGCGGCAAGGGGAUGUUUACGGUUUAGCCAUGGGGACGACCGUCAUGUGUUUCAGUCAGUCGGGGACUUUUAGUCCGCGUGCAUCUUUUCGUCAUUUGUUUUUGCUUUGUGACAUUUUACCGUGUCUCUCAAAUUUCAUUAUUUCUGAUAAAAUAAGAAAUAAAAUAAGAAAUAAAAUAAGAGAUAAAAAAAAGUCGCGAGCGUUUUUAGUAGCUUUCUAUAAUAAACUUAUAAUGUGUUUAUCGUGAUGAAAUAUUAACGGAGAAAAAAAUAAGACAGAAGAAGACCACCAUGUGCUUAUGUACCAUAUAUUUACUAGUUGUUAUAUGAAUCGAAAAGUGUGAAUUUGAAUUGCGGCGUAAACAUAAAUAAAUCUAAGUUAUUAGUGGUGCGUUGGAAACAGCGAAGGAGGAGAUGGCGGCAACAAGAUAAGAUAAUGGGACUUUUCACGACUAAUUGCAAGACCACGAGGAAAACGAAGACGAAGACGAAGACGAAGACGAAGUCGGGGAGAAGGAGAGGUGAUUUUUUUCAAAGUGUGUUAUGUCCUGCGUGCUUUCGUCGACGGGACGAAAGGAGGAGCGCGAUGCAGGCUGGUGUUUGUCGUUGAGAAACGACCGAACCAGCAGACAACGAAGGAGUAGCAUCGUCGAGGUGUUGGUGGUGGAGAAGAAGGAGGGGACGGAGGGGGGCGAGGGCAAGGGUGGUAAAAAGGAGGAGGAGGAGGAGGAGGAACAGGAGGAAGAGGAGGAAGAGGAGGGUGAGGAGGGUGGCGAGGGCGCCGCCGAUGUUGUCGGUGGUUCCUCGCAAGGUGUUUGUUGUUAUUCACCCUCGUACGAAAUGCAGAAAAGCCCGUGUAUAAAUAAUAUCGUUGAUGCAACGAGGAUUGCUCGUUCCGUUCCAACGAGACGAACCCUGCAAGCUUUGAUUUUCAUCCUUGCUACCGUCUAUGUCACCAUUCUCCUCUUUCAGAGGAAAACUCAGCUGGUCGAAGUGUUAAACACCGAGAUUAAUGGUAAAAACGAAGCGGUGAUCGAAGUAUCGAGGAGAAUCGUUAUCGAGGAAGGAGGAGGAGGAGGAGGAGGAUCGACUAUGACCCUACCAGUCGCUACGGCUACGAUCGUACCCUUCUCUACAAAUCUGGAUGACGUGUUUUUCAGUGUCAAAACUACCAAGCACUAUCAUCGUUCCCGUUUGCCGGCAAUCAUCGACACAUGGUUUCAAUUUGCCAAGGAUCAGACCUGGUUUUUCACCGAUCGAGAAGAUCCAUACUUUCAGAAUCAAACGAACGGCCACAUGAUCGAUACAAAGUGUUCAUCUUCUCACAACAGACGAGCCCUUUGCUGCAAGAUGUCCGUAGAGUUUGAUAGAUUUCUCGAAGCCGGUCGAAAGUGGUUCUGCCACUUCGAUGACGAUAAUUACGUGAACGUACCACGCCUUCUGAAGCUCCUGGACAAUUACAACCCACGGGAGGAUUGGUAUCUUGGCAAGCCUUCGAUACCAGCCCCUCUGGAAAUCAUGAGGCCGGGACCAGAGCCAUCGAAACGACCGCAAAAGGUCAGAUUCUGGUUUGCUACGGGUGGUGCCGGCUUUUGCAUCAGCAGGGCUCUAGCGUUGAAAAUGACGCCGCUCGCUGGGUUGUUCCUUCGUCUCUCGUCCUUCCGAGUCCGUAAUAGCUGGCGAUUACGCUCGCGGAAAUGCUUCGUCACGGAGCUGCCUACGAAUCUUUUCGAGUUACGAUCUUUUGCGCGUCCGACCACCCUUUGAGAAAUUCCACGGAGAAGGCGAGGAGGAGACGAGUUUCCGGAGCUAAGAAGCCACUUGCACGGGUGGAAAGUUUAUCACCGUAGGCGAUAGGAUCAGGCUUCCGGAUGACGUAACCAUGGGAUAUAUCAUCGAGUAC